AGAGUUUGAUUCUGGCUCAGAGUGAACGCUGGCGGCGUGCUUAACACAUGCAAGUCGAACGAGAACGGAUUAUAGCUUGCUAUAAUUGUCAGCUAAGUGGCGCACGGGUGAGUAAUAUAUAGGUAACAUGCCUCUUACUAAGGGAUAACAGAUGGAAACGUCUGCUAAUACCUUAUAUGCCUUUAAUACUGAAGUAUGCAAGGGAAAGAUUUAUUGGUAAGAGAUUGGCCUGUACGGUAUCAGUUAGUUGGUGAGGUAAUGGCUCACCAAGACGAUGACACCUAACUGGUUUGAGAGGAUGAUCAGUCACACUGGAACUGAGACACGGUCCAGACUCCUACGGGAGGCAGCAGUGGGGAAUAUUGCACAAUGGACGAAAGUCUGAUGCAGCAACCCCCCGUGGAGGAUGACACAUUUUCGUUGCGUAAACUCCUUUUAUAGGUCAAGAAAAUGACCGUAGCCUAUGAAUAAGCGCCGGCUAACUCCUUGGCCAGCAGCCCCCGGUAAUACGGAGGGCGCAAGCGUUACUCGGAAUCACUGGGCGUAAAGAGCGUGUAGGCGGAUUAAUAAGUCAGAAGUGAAAUCCAAUAGCUUAACUAUUGAACUGCUUUUGAAACUGCUGAGCUAGAGUACGGUAGAGGGUAGUGGAAUUUCCGGUGUAGCGGUGAAAUGCGUAGAGAUCGGAAGGAACACCAGUGGCGAAGGCGACUACCUGGACCGAUACUGACACUGAGGUGCGAAGGCGUGGGUAGCAAACAGGAUUAGAUACCCUGGUAGUCCACGCCGUAAACGAUGUCAACUAGCCGUUGGGGGACUUGAUCCUUUAGUGGCGAAGCUAACGCGAUAAGUUGACCGCCUGGGGAGUACGGCCGCAAGGUUAAAACUCAAAUGAAUUGACGGGGGCCCGCACAAGCGGUGGAGCAUGUGGUUUAAUUCGAAGCAACGCGAAGAACCUUACCUACUCUUGACAUCCAGAGAACUUUCCAGAGAUGGAUUGGUGCCUUCGGGAACUCUGAGACAGGUGCUGCAUGGCUGUCGUCAGCUCGUGUUGUGAAAUGUUGGGUUAAGUCCCGUAACGAGCGCAACCCUUAUCCUUAUUUGCCAGCGAGUAAUGUCGGGAACUCUAAGGAGACUGCCGGUGACAAACCGGAGGAAGGUGGGGAUGACGUCAAGUCAUCAUGGCCCUUACGAGUAGGGCUACACACGUGCUACAAUGGCCGGUACAGAGGGCUGCAAACUCGCGAGAGUAAGCUAAUCUCACAAAACCGGUCGUAGUCCGGAUCGCAGUCUGCAACUCGACUGCGUGAAGUCGGAAUCGCUAGUAAUCGUGAAUCAGAAUGUCACGGUGAAUACGUUCCCGGGCCUUGUACUCACCCCCGUC
This 1381-nucleotide ribosomal RNA is filed under the name uncultured Campylobacterota bacterium. RNAcentral's name for it is "uncultured Epsilonproteobacteria bacterium partial 16S ribosomal RNA". It matches the Rfam family "Bacterial small subunit ribosomal RNA". Lineage: Bacteria; Pseudomonadati; Campylobacterota. The record is from RNAcentral.